GUUGCCUAUCUCUUAGGAAAAGGUCCAGACCUCCUCCCCUAUAAAUAUAAAGGGGUACGGCCGAUUGAGAACCCCCGAACACAUUCCAAUCGAACCAAUUACCUUAUUUACUUUUCCUGCCCUAGGAGUAGAUGUAGCAUAGUUCUAGUUGUAGCCUUCCGCAUAUCCACCUCCACCCCUAGUCGACUCUACGUCGUCUAGAUCCGUCUUGGGUGGCCUGCCGAUCCCAAGACGACCCUAGGAUCUCACCCAUCCCGGGGGGCAAGAUCUAGUUGUCCAUCCAAGACCUCUUCCUCGAUUUGAUCUCUUAAUUCCUAGGCGACUCCACAUCGUCUGGGGACGCCCCGGGUGACCUGUCGACCCGGGGCACCUUAAGAUCUUUUCCCCCAGGGGACAAGAU
RNAcentral lists this long non-coding RNA (400 nucleotides) under Zea mays. Its description in RNAcentral is "drought responsive lncRNA". Lineage: Eukaryota; Viridiplantae; Streptophyta; Magnoliopsida; Poales; Poaceae. The record is from RNAcentral.